This 642-nucleotide ribosomal RNA is filed under the name Symbiodinium sp. RNAcentral describes it as "LSU rRNA". It matches the Rfam family "Eukaryotic large subunit ribosomal RNA", at positions 38 to 673 of the family's 3401-position model. The record is from RNAcentral. Lineage: Eukaryota; Dinophyceae; Suessiales; Symbiodiniaceae.
GCAUAUAAGUAAGCGGAGGAAAAGGAACUAAACAGGAUUCCCUUAGUAAUGGCGAACGAACAGGGAUCAGCUUGGGUUGGAAACCGGGGCUUCUGCCUUGGAUUGUGGCCUUUAGACAUAUUACCAACGGCGGCGCGAGCGUAAGCCUCUUGGAACAGAGCGUCUACGUGGGUGAGAAUCCUGUGUUUCGCUUGAUGCCCGCCGUGCACGGUACUUGCUCUCAGAGUCACGCUCCUCGGAAUUGGAGCGUAAAUUGGGUGGUAAAUUUCAUCUAAAGCUAAAUACAGGCUCGAGACCGAUAGCAAACAAGUACCAUGAGGGAAAGAUGAAAAGGACUUUGAAAAGAGAGUUAAAAGUGCUUGAAAUCGCUGAACUGGAAGCGAAUGGAACUAGUGCUCUGGUUGAGAUUGCUGCAAGUGGCUGCGACAUCUGGGCUCUGGAACGCAAAUCCUUUGUCUGGUUUGAAGUAGUUGCUUGUAAUGUGUCUCAGCUUGAACAUCAGCGUCUAUGCAUACGUGAGGAUGGCCCUUAGCUCAUGCUGUGUUGCUGUGGCGAUACUCUUGUGCUUUUGGGGAUUCAGGUGUGUGUGGAUUGUUGAUCAAUUAGUUCCAUUCGACCCGUCUUGAAACACGGACCAAGGAG